ACGAACGCUGGCGGCGUGCUUAACACAUGCAAGUCGAACGGUGAAGCGCCUUCCUUUUUGGUGGGUGUGGAUGAGUGGCGAACGGGUGAGUAACACGUGAGUAACCUGCCCCCUUCUUCUGGAUAACCGCAUGAAAGUGUGGCUAAUACGGGAUAUUCUGGGUCUGUCGCAUGAUGGGUCUGGGAAAGAUAUUGUUUCGGUGGGGGAUGGGCUCGCGGCCUAUCAGCUUGUUGGUGGGGUGAUGGCCUACCAAGGCGGUGACGGGUAGCCGGCCUGAGAGGGUGGACGGUCACACUGGGACUGAGACACGGCCCAGACUCCUACGGGAGGCAGCAGUGGGGAAUAUUGCACAAUGGGCGCAAGCCUGAUGCGGCGACGCCGCGUGAGGGAUGGAGGCCUUCGGGUUGUGAACCUCUUUCGCCAGUGAAGCAGGCCUGCCUCGUUUGUGGGUGGGUUGACGGUAGCUGGAUAAGAAGCGCCGGCUAACUACGUG
This 493-nucleotide ribosomal RNA is filed under the name uncultured bacterium. RNAcentral describes it as "partial 16S ribosomal RNA". It matches the Rfam family "Bacterial small subunit ribosomal RNA", at positions 29 to 507 of the family's 1533-position model. The record is from RNAcentral.